RNAcentral lists this ribosomal RNA (601 nucleotides) under uncultured bacterium. RNAcentral describes it as "bacterial SSU rRNA". It matches the Rfam family "Bacterial small subunit ribosomal RNA", at positions 726 to 1331 of the family's 1533-position model. The record is from RNAcentral.
CCACAAGGCCUUUACUGACGCUAAAGCUCGAAGGUGCGGGUAUCGAACAGGAUUAGAUACCCUGGUAGUCCGCACGGUAAACGAUGGAUGCCCGCUGUUUGCGAUAUACUGUGAGCGGCCAAGAGAAAUCGUUAAGCAUCCCACCUGGGGAGUACGCCGGCAACGGUGAAACUCAAAGGAAUUGACGGGGGCCCGCACAAGCGGAGGAACAUGUGGUUUAAUUCGAUGAUACGCGAGGAACCUUACCCGGGCUUGAACUGCAGGAGAACGAUUCAGAGAUGAUGAGGUCCUUCGGGACUCCUGUGGAGGUGCUGCAUGGUUGUCGUCAGCUCGUGCCGUGAGGUGUCGGCUUAAGUGCCAUAACGAGCGCAACCCCUUUCGUUAGUUGCCAUCAGGUGAUGCUGGGCACUCUGGCGAUACUGCCACCGUAAGGUGUGAGGAAGGUGGGGAUGACGUCAAAUCAGCACGGCCCUUACGUCCGGGGCUACACACGUGUUACAAUGGGUGGUACAGAGAGUGGGUCGUCUGCAAAUGCGAUCAAAUCCUAAAAGCCAUCCUCAGUUCGGAUUGGGGUCUGCAACCCGACCCCAUGAAGCUGGAU